GGAUAACACUUGGAAACAGGUGCUAAUACCGCAUAACAGUUUAUGCCGCAUGGCAUAAGAGUGAAAGGCGCUUUCGGGUGUCGCUGAUGGAUGGACCCGCGGUGCAUUAGCUAGUUGGUGAGGUAACGGCUCACCAAGGCCACGAUGCAUAGCCGACCUGAGAGGGUGAUCGGCCACACUGGGACUGAGACACGGCCCAGAUUCCUACGGGAGGCAGCAGUAGGGAAUCUUCGGCAAUGGACGAAAGUCUGACCGAGCAACGCCGCGUGAGUGAAGAAGGUUUUCGGAUCGUAAAACUCUGUUGUUAGAGAAGAACAAGGACGUUAGUAACUGAACGUCCCCUGACGGUAUCUAACCAGAAAGCCACGGCUAACUACGUGCCAGCAGCCGCGGUAAUACGUAGGUGGCAAGCGUUGUCCGGAUUUAUUGGGCGUAAAGCGAGCGCAGGCGGUUUCUUAAGUCUGAUGUGAAAGCCCCCGGCUCAACCGGGGAGGGUCAUUGGAAACUGGGAGACUUGAGUGCAGAAGAGGAGAGUGGAAUUCCAUGUGUAGCGGUGAAAUGCGUAGAUAUAUGGAGGAACACCAGUGGCGAAGGCGGCUCUCUGGUCUGUAACUGACGCUGAGGCUCGAAAGCGUGGGGAGCAAACAGGAUUAGAUACCCUGGUAGUCCACGCCGUAAACGAUGAGUACUAAGUGUUGGAGGGUUUCCGCCCUUCAGUGCUGCA
RNAcentral lists this ribosomal RNA (724 nucleotides) under uncultured bacterium. RNAcentral's name for it is "bacterial SSU rRNA". It matches the Rfam family "Bacterial small subunit ribosomal RNA", at positions 141 to 850 of the family's 1533-position model. The record is from RNAcentral.